GGUUGAUCCUGCCAGUAGUCAUAUGCUUGUCUCAAAGACUAAGCCAUGCAUGUCUAAGUAUCUUAUAGAAACUGCGAAUGGCUCAUUAAAACAGUUAUAGUCCACUUGAUAUUGAAACUUACAUGGAUAACCGUAGUAAUUCUAGAGCUAAUACAUGCGUUACGCCGAUGUCAAAGUCGGCAGUAUUUAGAUAACUAAAUCGCUAUUCCUUUCAGGUCUAUUUGAUGAUUCAGUCUAACUUAUCGGAUCGCUGCUUAUGCUGCGAUAGAUCAUUCGAGUUUCUGCCCCAUCA
Molecule: ribosomal RNA, 292 nt
Filed under: uncultured eukaryote
Lineage: Eukaryota
Description: partial 18S ribosomal RNA
Rfam family: Eukaryotic small subunit ribosomal RNA
Source: RNAcentral